AUACUUACCUGGACAGGGUCAAUGAGUGAUCAGGAAGAGCAGUGACUUGCAUUGCACUUGGAAGGGGUGCUGCUUUAAGGUCUCCCCAAGAGGGAGAGCCUACGUCAUAAUUUGUGGCACUGGGGGCUUGCGUACGCGCAGCCCCUAU
RNAcentral lists this small nuclear RNA (148 nucleotides) under Gossypium arboreum. RNAcentral describes it as "U1 spliceosomal RNA". It matches the Rfam family "U1 spliceosomal RNA". Rfam says of the family: U1 is a small nuclear RNA (snRNA) component of the spliceosome (involved in pre-mRNA splicing). The record is from Rfam by way of RNAcentral. Lineage: Eukaryota; Viridiplantae; Streptophyta; Magnoliopsida; Malvales; Malvaceae.